RNAcentral lists this ribosomal RNA (543 nucleotides) under Entoloma bloxamii var. rubellum. Its description in RNAcentral is "Entoloma bloxamii var. LNM-2013 partial small subunit ribosomal RNA". It matches the Rfam family "Bacterial small subunit ribosomal RNA", at positions 356 to 958 of the family's 1533-position model. The record is from RNAcentral. Lineage: Eukaryota; Fungi; Basidiomycota; Agaricomycetes; Agaricales; Entolomataceae.
CAAGAAUAUUAGUCAAUGCUCGCAAGAGUGAACUAGCUAACUGAAAUCACAUGAAUCACUCUGUUGAUAAUUGUGAUAACGUAAGGGAAAAAAAUGAUAUUACCUUACUAUUAGUGUUGUCCAAAACUGGUGCCAGAAGACUCGGUAAGGCCAGAGACGCAAACGUUAGUCGUCUUAAUCAGGCGUAAAGGGUAUGUAGGCUGCUUUAAAAUCAAUUAAAGCUAGGAUCAAAUUGAGGAUAAACCAAAUAAUACUUAGUGUAGGGUUGAUAUCUAUAGAUACUAAGGGGAAUACUAAAGGUGAAAGCUUUUUAUCUACUAAUGAUUGACGCUGAGAAACGAAGGUGAGAAUAGGAAAUAGGAUUAGAUACCCAGAUACCUCUCACUGUCAACGAUGAAUGGUGGUUGUUAGUUUUUUUAAAAAUUGGUAACGAUGUUAACACGAUAACCAUUCCGCCUUGCGAGUACGGUUGCAAAACUGAAACCAAAAAAAUUAGUCGGUCUCGAAGCAAACGAAGUGAAGCAUGUUAUUUAAUUCGAUAUU